RNAcentral lists this unclassified non-coding RNA (331 nucleotides) under soil metagenome. Its description in RNAcentral is "partial contains 5.8S ribosomal RNA, internal transcribed spacer 2, and large subunit ribosomal RNA". The stretch from base 1 to 120 matches the Rfam family "5.8S ribosomal RNA", at positions 35 to 154 of the family's 154-position model. The record is from RNAcentral.
GAUGAAGAACGCAGCGAAAUGCGAUACGUAAUGUGAAUUGCAGACGUCAGUGAAUCAUCGAAUCUUUGAACGCACAUUGCGCCCCCUGGUAUUCCGGGGGGCAUGCCUGUUCGAGCGUCAUUUCACCACUCAAGCCUCGCUUGGUAUUGGGCAACGCGGUCCGCCGCGUGCCUCAAAUCGACCGGCUGGGUCUUCUGUCCCCUAAGCGUUGUGGAAACUAUUCGCUAAAGGGUGUUCGGGAGGCUACGCCGUAAAACAACCCCAUUUCUAAGGUUGACCUCGGAUCAGGUAGGGAUACCCGCUGAACUUAAGCAUAUCAAUAAGCGGAGGA